This 732-nucleotide unclassified non-coding RNA is filed under the name Hevea brasiliensis (rubber tree). Lineage: Eukaryota; Viridiplantae; Streptophyta; Magnoliopsida; Malpighiales; Euphorbiaceae. The record is from RNAcentral.
GGAGAAGGCAAAGCAAGAUGAUGCACUUUCAGAUUUGAGUAACAUCCUGGGUGAUUUGAAGGGCAUGGCUUUUGAUAUGGGAAGUGAAAUUGACAGGUAAGCUGUGAUGUUUUCAUUGAGUUUAGCAAUGAUACAAUUUUCGCAUUAUUUUUGUAAAUUAUUAUAUUUUAAGCUUCUAAACAGAAGUAUUAAAAGUGAUUCUUUGAUUGCAUUAUAUUUUCCAAAUACCUAUGGAAACAAUCCUGUGCUUAAGUGGCAGGGGACCUUUAAGUGCUGUGAUCAUCGUAAACAUCGUAAAUGCAGGCAAAAUAAAGCCCUUGAUCAUCUUGGUGAUGAUGUUGACGAGCUGAACUCUCGAGUGAAAGGAGCCAAUCAGCGUGCCCGCCGUUUGCUUGAGAAGUGAGACACUGAGCAGGCACCACCACCAGAUUACUAAAUUUGAUUUCUGCAUAUUGUUUAGUGGUCAUAAUGGCCUUUUAAGCCCUUCUUGGUGAAUUCAUCAGUUCAUACCUGGAAACCCUUCAUUUGUAUUCAUGCUACUGCAAUUUUUUUCCCCUUACAAGAUACUGUCAUACAAUCUUCUUCUUCCUUUUUUAGUUUUUUUCAUUGAUAAUAUGAUAUCUGUAUAGUUGAUUGUGUAUACUGCACAAGCUUGAGAAUUACUCAAAUGUCCAAUGACAAUGAAAAUUCUUCAAAAUUAUUUCUAUUUGAUGGCUUUAGAGAAUGUUAGAG